RNAcentral lists this ribosomal RNA (468 nucleotides) under uncultured bacterium. RNAcentral's name for it is "partial 16S ribosomal RNA". It matches the Rfam family "Bacterial small subunit ribosomal RNA", at positions 28 to 507 of the family's 1533-position model. The record is from RNAcentral.
GACGAACGCUGGCGGCGUGCUUAACACAUGCAAGUCGAACGGAAAGGCCCUGCUUUUGUGGGGUGCUCGAGUGGCGAACGGGUGAGUAACACGUGAGUAACCUGCCCUUGACUUUGGGAUAACUUCAGGAAACUGGGGCUAAUACCGGAUAGGAGCUCCUGCUGCAUGGUGGGGGUUGGAAAGUUUCGGCGGUUGGGGAUGGACUCGCGGCUUAUCAGCUUGUUGGCGGGGUAGUGGCUUACCAAGGCUUUGACGGGUAGCCGGCCUGAGAGGGUGACCGGCCACAUUGGGACUGAGAUACGGCCCAGACUCCCACGGGAGGCAGCAGUGGGAAAUAUUGCACAAUGGGCGGAAGCCUGAUGCAGCAACGCCGCGUGCGGGAUGACGGCCUUCGGGUUGUAAACCGCUUUCGCCUGUGACGAAGCGUGAGUGACGGUAAUGGGUAAAGAAGCACCGGCUAACUACGUG